GCCGCUCCUGGCGCUGCUGCUUCUGCUGCUGGCGCCACUGCCGCCGGGGGCCCCGCCGGGCGCCGACGCCUACUUCCCCGAGGAGCGCUGGAGCCCGGAGUCGCCCCUGCAGGCGCCGCGCGUGCUCAUCGCGCUGUUGGCGCGAAACGCGGCCCACGCGUUGCCCACCACGCUGGGCGCACUCGAGCGGCUGCGGCACCCGCGGGAGCGCACGGCGCUAUGACGGAAUCUUGCUCUGUCGCCCAGGCUGGAGUACAGUGACACGAUCUCAGCUCAUUGCAACCUCCGCCUCCGGGUUCAA
Molecule: long non-coding RNA, 301 nt
Filed under: Homo sapiens (human)
Lineage: Eukaryota; Metazoa; Chordata; Mammalia; Primates; Hominidae
Description: HSALNT0256657
Source: RNAcentral